AUUCUGCCCAAGCGGGGAAGGAUGAGAAGCUUCAACCAAGGUUCGACUUGAGCGCCAGCGAGAGAGCGUUGCCGCAGGCAACGACCCGUAGGGCGAAGCGCGCAGCGCUGAGUAAUCCUUCCCCCACCACCA
RNAcentral lists this small RNA (132 nucleotides) under Escherichia coli. RNAcentral describes it as "RtT sRNA". It matches the Rfam family "RtT RNA". From Rfam's summary of the family: This family represents a bacterial cis-regulatory element known as RtT RNA. The exact function of RtT is unknown although it is thought that it may be involved in changing the cellular response in relation to amino acid starvation. Lineage: Bacteria; Pseudomonadati; Pseudomonadota; Gammaproteobacteria; Enterobacterales; Enterobacteriaceae. The record is from RNAcentral.